Molecule: ribosomal RNA, 497 nt
Filed under: uncultured bacterium
Lineage: Bacteria
Description: partial 16S ribosomal RNA
Rfam family: Bacterial small subunit ribosomal RNA
Source: RNAcentral
GAUGAACGCUGGCGGCGUGCCUAAUACAUGCAAGUCGAGCGAACAGACGAGGAGUUUGCUCCUCUGACGUUAGCGGCGGACGGGUGAGUAACACGUGGAUAACCUACCUAUAAGACUGGGAUAACUUCGGGAAACCGGAGCUAAUACCGGAUAAUAUAUUGAACGGCAUGGUUCAAUAGUGAAAGACGGUUUUGCUGUCACUUAUAGAUGGAUCCGCGCCGCAUUAGCUAGUUGGUAAGGUAACGGCUUACCAAGGCAACGAUGCGUAGCCGACCUGAGAGGGUGAUCGGCCACACUGGAACUGAGGCACGGUCCAGACUCCUGCGGGAGGCAGCAGUAGGGAAUCUUCCGCAAUGGGCGAAAGCCUGACGGAGCAACGCCGCGUGAGUGAUGAAGGUCUUCGGAUCGUAAAACUCUGUUAUUAGGGAAGAACAAAUGUGUAAGUAACUAUGCACGUCUUGACGGUACCUAAUCAGAAAGCCACGGCUAACUACGUG